GACGAACGCUGGCGGCGUGCUUAACACAUGCAAGUCGAACGGAAGGACGCUACUUUUGUGUGUUGGUCGUUUGGCGCAGAGGUGAGUAACACGUGAGUAACCUGCCCCUGACUUUGUGAUAAAUUCUGGAGAAUCCGGCUAUUAUCCGAUAUGAUCUCUUGAUGCAUGGUGGUGGUUGGAGAAUUUCGGCGGUUGUGGAUGGUCUCGCAGGUUAUCAGCUUGUUGGGCGGGUAGUGGCUUACCAAGGCUUUGACGGGUAGCCGGCCUGAGAGGGUGAACGGCCACAUUGGUACUGAGAUAGGGACCAGACUCGUACCGGACGCAGCAGGGGGAAACAUUGCACAAUGGGCGGAAGUCUGAUGCAGCAACGCCGCGUGCGGGAUGCCGGCCUUCUGGGGGUAAACAGAUUUGUCCGGUGACGAAGAGUGAGUGACGGUAACGAGUAAAAAAGCACCGGCUAACUACGUG
This 468-nucleotide ribosomal RNA is filed under the name uncultured bacterium. RNAcentral's name for it is "partial 16S ribosomal RNA". It matches the Rfam family "Bacterial small subunit ribosomal RNA", at positions 28 to 507 of the family's 1533-position model. The record is from RNAcentral.